UUUGUAGAAUGAACCGGCGAGUUACGAUUUGUUGCAAGGUUAAGCGGAAAAAGCGGAGCCGUAGCGAAAGCGAGUCUGAAUAGGGCGCAUAAGUAACAGGUCGUAGACCCGAAACCAGGUGAUCUACCCAUGUCCAGGAUGAAGGUAAGGUAAUACUUACUGGAGGUCCGAACCCACGCACGUUGAAAAGUGCGGGGAUGAGGUGUGGGUAGCGGAGAAAUUCCAAUCGAACUUGGAGAUAGCUGGUUCUCUCCGAAAUAGCUUUAGGGCUAGCCUCGAGGUAAAGAGUCAUGGAGGUAGAGCACUGUUUGGACUAGGGGCCCUUCUCGGGUUACCGAAUUCAGAUAAACUCCGAAUGCCAUGUACUUAUACUCGGGAGUCAGACUGCGAGUGAUAAGAUCCGUAGUCGAAAGGGAAACAGCCCAGACCACCAGUUAAGGUCCCCAAAUAUAUGUUAAGUGGAAAAGGAUGUGGGGUUGCUUAGACAACCAGGAUGUUGGCUUAGAAGCAGCCACCAUUGAAAGAGUGCGUAAUAGCUCACUGGUCGAGUGACCCCGCGCCGAAAAUGUACCGGGGCUAAACAUAUUACCGAAACUGUGGAUGAACCUCUUUAGAGGUUCGUGGUAGGAGAGCGUUCUAAGGGCGGUGAAGUCAGACCGGAAGGACUGGUGGAGCGCUUAGAAGUGAGAAUGCCGGUAUGAGUAGCGAAAGAAGGGUGAGAAUCCCUUCCACCGAAUAUCUAAGGUUUCCUGAGGAAGGCUCGUCCGCUC
Molecule: ribosomal RNA, 770 nt
Filed under: Listeria monocytogenes
Lineage: Bacteria; Bacillati; Bacillota; Bacilli; Caryophanales; Listeriaceae
Description: partial 23S ribosomal RNA
Rfam family: Bacterial large subunit ribosomal RNA
Source: RNAcentral